Molecule: long non-coding RNA, 6164 nt
Filed under: Lotus japonicus
Lineage: Eukaryota; Viridiplantae; Streptophyta; Magnoliopsida; Fabales; Fabaceae
Description: long non-coding RNA (LJAP_LNC001684)
Source: RNAcentral
UUCAAUCCCUAACUUGUGUACCUGUGGGGUAACUGAACAGAGACAAUAAGAAUGAAUAUAGUAGUAUGCUAGGUGUUCAUGAGACUUAGAGCUCUCCCACAAAAAUAAAUUAAAAAAAUCUAAGCAUAUACAGAGACAGAGAGAGAUCGUGAAAAAGGGCAAUGAAGGUUCAGAUUGCUUGCAUGUUUGCUCGUACCUUGUUGUUGGUUGAUGAGGAUUGAGGAAGAAGAAGAUGGAGAUUUGAUUUGAGUUUGAGGGAGAGAAGGCAACAACGGUGGUGGGCUGAUGGAGCAAGGGCUUUUUGUUGGGUCGGGUUGGACUUGUCUUUCACUUUCACUUUCACAUUCACAUCACAUAUACAUAAAGAAAAAAACUUGGCCGGCACGUGUCAAUGGAUGGGGGUUCUUGACACGCACGCCUUCAUAUAAAAAUAUAAAAAUAAAAAAAAAUAAAAAAUAAAUAAAUAAAUAAACUUCCUUUUUCUUUGACGGAGGUUUCUUCUUCAUCUUCUUAUCUGAUCAAUCAAGCAAGCAACACAUCUUCUUCUUCUCUCUUUCGCUCUCCUCUCUCUCUCUCUCUGGUAAGCAACAUCUACUCUUCAAUUCUAAUUGCGAUCCUUUUUCCUUUUUAUUCGUCAAUCGUUUUCGCUCCUCAAUUCAUCGCUACCCUCGUACCAAACCCUAAUUCCAUAAUUGGUGCUGCAGAAUCAUCGCCAUGGCUAAGAGCUCAUUCAAGAUGGAACACCCACUUGGUUCGCUCCUCUCUUAAUUUACCAAUUUUUUGUUCAAUUGUUACUGUAUAGUGCAGUUUUAUGAGUUGAUCAAACUUGAUGCUUUUGGGAUUCUCGGGUAGUAAUCUAACUGUCUAGGGUUUGGUUUCUAUUUUUUUUUUAUUUGGGUGUUUAACUAUGAUGUAAAGUUUGUAUUUUUAAGCACCAUUAUCACUUCUUCCAUGAAAAUUGAAUUUUUACCAGAAAUUUUUACUCUAUCAAAUGCCAUUGUCUUGUCUUAACUACAUAUUUUUGCUCUUUAUAUUUAGUUUAGAGUUUAGUAUAAACAAUGACCUAUGUUAUAGCACUUAAUUAUACUUUCCUAAGUGCAUGUAAACUUGUAUUUAGUUCACCUAUUGGGUGAUUUAGGUCCAACAUUUAUCUUCUCUAAUAUGUGCAACCAUUAACAUGCCAGAAAGGAGACAGGCUGAAGCAGCUCGCAUAAGAGAGAAGUAUCCUGACAGAAUUCCGGUAAGACCUGCUUUCUGCUGUGCUGUCUGUGUGCAUGUGCCAUUUUAAUAUCAUUGGAUGCUUAUUAUUUUGGUUGAUCUUGUGAUGUAGGUUAUUGUUGAAAGGGCAGAGAAGAGUGAUGUUCCUGAAAUUGAUAAGAAAAAGUUAGUUUCUUCUACUCUUUGGGAAGUGAUAUUGCAAAUAUUGGUUCAGUUUAUUUAAUCCAAUUUUCGUUAUAACUAUUAUUACUUGUUUCGUGAAUAUUUCCCUGCAUGAAACUUGUCCUGCUAUGUCUGGUUGAAGUUUUGAAUGUAUGGUAGCUUUACUUUGAAAUUUGAAAAAUGUAGACACUUAUGGUUGCUUAUGGUUCAACUUUGAACUUAAUACAUGAUGAGAAAUUAUAGUGUUGUGUGAUCCAUGUAGAGACAUGGUUUGUCGCUGGCUAAGACCUGUCGUGUGUAUUUUCUAUUUAUGCAUGUAGACGAAACCUUAAUGCUCUUGGUUUUUAACAAUGUAAAUAGAAUGGAAACUGUAGAAACAGUCUAGUUUGAUCAUAAAGUGAGAACAGGUUUUUGUUAAGACUUGGGUGUUAAUAAUUGAAUGUAUCAGAAAGUUGAGACUUCAUGUCCCAAAAUCUGUGUGCAUCUGCAUUAUGUACUUGUUUGGGUUGGAGCCAUGUGUUAUUUUAGUAAGUAGUUAAGUCUCCAAUGGCAUUUGGCUUUUGUGGUACAUUCUUGCAAAACGUAGGAGGUAUAACUCAUAACUCACUGUCUUCUCACCUUCUAAAAUCAAAAGAAAAAAAUGACCUUGGAAACUUAGUGUAUAUAUAAGUUUCAGCCAAUGUGAAAAUGUCCUUUGGGACGUAUGACUGUAUGUCUGGGGUGUAAGACCGUAAGCCAAACAUAUUUUUAGUACACUAAGUAACCUGGCUGGUGGAUGGAUGUCUAGGAUAGAUAUAGGCAUUUCGACAUGCUCAAUGUUUUCAUUUACCUCUUUUGACUUCAAUAUUGGAUGCGUGAAAUUCUUAUUACACUGACAAUUAUCGGAAUGUUCUAUUGUGUUGUGUGGAUACUGGAUACAUUUUUCAUCUUUCAUCCCUUGUAUUUUCUUUAUUGAUUAUCGUUCCAUUUUGGAUAUAUAUAGGUAUCUUGUUCCUGCUGAUUUAACUGUUGGCCAAUUUGUGUAUGUGGUGCGUAAGAGAAUCAAGCUGAGUCCUGAGAAGNNNNNNNNNNNNNNNNNNNNNNNNNNNNNNNNNNNNNNNNNNNNNNNNNNNNNNNNNNNNNNNNNNNNNNNNNNNNNNNNNNNNNNNNNNNNNNNNNNNNAUCAUAGCACGAUCAUGUGAAUAGAGCUUAAUGAAAAAUGACCAUUAUGAAGAAGUCAGCUUAAUUGUAAAUUCUCUGGUUUGAUCUGGUUCUUGUAAAGUUCAUUAACUGAUUGCUUUCAAUUUCUAUCGUUUCUUGUACCGGUACUUAUUUGAAAAUUGCCUUGUGUUCACUAUAUUGCUAAAGUUUAAGGGUAUGUGCUCUUUAAAAUGUUUUCUCAUUUUCAUUCUUCUUAUUUUCAUAUUCGAAAAGUAAUUUUCAUGUUCAGUUUUUAAAAUUAGACAAGGGGGUUUUCAAACUUUUAACCGCUGUCAAACCGUUGACUCAGUGAUCUGGGGAUCUCUGAUGGGGUUACCUUUAGGUCAGACCAGACGAUUGUUUCAAGCUCAUCUGUAUGCAGAUUUAGUAAAAUGAGGCUAAAUUGUGGCAUUUAGUGUGUUUAGAAAAGUUUAUUUGAAUUUUUUUUGGUACAUAAAGUUUAUGAAGUGUGGCAAACGACUAGGUCAAUGAAGUCUUUGUUUUUUUUGUGCUUCGGAAAAUAGUGAAUGAAGUCUUUCAAGACUACAGAGUUUUAUGACUUUCAGCUUUUCAUUUAAUUAAAUUAUCAGCACAUUGUAAGUGACGAGGUUUGGAGCAUGUUGGGCGAGUUUUUGCAUUGAGUACAUCUGAUCCAGCUUUGGUUUUGAAUGGGUUAAUUGCUAAUGUCAAAUAUUCAAAAACAUUUAAGAAGUUUUUUUUUUUUGAAACUUCAUUUAAGAAGUUAAGACCGAUUAGUAUUUGAAACAUUAUUUAUAAGGUGAUUAUUAAGGUCUUGGUUAAGCCUUCACACUUAGAGACUUAGAGUAGUUUUAUAACGGAGAGGUGCACAGCUGAUGUUAUUGUUCAUAAGAAGAAGAAGAAAGUAGAGUACUCAGCCGAUUGGUUUAACCGUGAGGUAACACGUGGUGGUUAGUUCACCUAGCCCCUUAACCCUGAGGUCAAGGUUUCGAUCCUCCCCAUGAGAAUGAAUCACAUUUCAUGGUCAAUCAUUUACCGUUUAUUACGAGCACCUGCGGUGAGGAAAUUAAUCAUUGUUGUUGCUGGAUACUCUGAGCUCACAAAAAAAGAAGAUGAAGAGGGAAGAUAAGGACAUCACCUUUAAGCGGGAUCUUGAGAAGGUGCAUGAUCAUAUGAUCGAAUGGAUUGGGGCUUCUUGAAGAAUACCCUCCAUCAAUUUGGGUUUCCACCUGUUAUGUUUAGCAUGUGCAAACCUGUUUGGGAAACUGUAACUAUCUUUCCCAAUCCAAGGUUCGAUCUUGUGACAUUACCUUUACAGAAAAUCUAGCUUGCCUAGCACUAGACCAGCCUACCAACAUAUAAUUUUUAAAAUCGAUAAUUACAUAUUCAAAAUAAGCUUAGAGUUUAGGAACCAAGUUGGCUUUUCAUCUUUCAAAACAAAAUAUAUAAAAAAAAUGACGGUGCAUAUUAUGUUUAUAUAAAUAAAUUAAAGAUCUUCAUAUUAAAAUCUUUUUUUUUUAAACAUCUUCAUAUUAAAAUCUUAGAAAUACAGCAAUUGGAUUUUUAUUUAAUUUGGUCAAAUUAAAUAAAUAGCGAUAUCUAAAGUCUAAACUGAUAAAAAUUGACUUUGUCCAAAUUGUACAAAAAUCUAAUAUAAGCUAUAAUGACCGGCAUUCGCCUCAAUUAAUACUUCAUAAAUCGAUUGAAGUCAAUAUAAGCUAUAAUGACCGGCAUUCGCCUCUUCUAGAUUAAGUGACUUUUGACCAUAAAAUGCAAAAUCAUACUAGUACUUCUUUAGACAAUUAUUAAUAAAGCAAGAAUUAUAACUUCUAAUAAUUUUGAAAUUUGUUAUACAUGUAGAUAUAUUUUAACACAGUAUUAACAAGUAAUUUUUCAAUCAUAUUCUAUCUCAAGUCUCAACACUUUAGCCGCACAUCUUUAUCCUAUCAAUUCAUAGGGAACAACUGGUGCAAGUAAAACUGUGAAGCAAUUUGGAAACACAUUUCGCUGCAAAGCUGUUUUAAAUGUCUUCCUAACUUCAAUCCAAACAUGCACUUAUAGAUGGAGAGGGUAAAGUCAUAACAUUCCACAUUUCUCUAUAAACAAAUGAAUAAUAGAAAUAACAAGAAGUAUAAGCUAUUCUGGAUUGUUUGUAAUGCUCAAAACUGGAAGCCAAAACAUAAUCAAUCUUUAUCUCUAUGAAACAAACUUUACUGAAUCAAUGUGUAUGUACCAAAACAAAUACAAGGAUCAGAGAAUAAGUUCUUCACUUAGAGGUCCUUUUCUGGUACUGAGUCUUCAUCCAUUUGAUCCCAGCAGAGGUGCCACUCUUCACCUUCUGAGCACCCACCACAGCAGCUGUCUUAGCUUUGUCAGCACCCACAGCUGCUGCUGCCUUGGCCUUUUCCAUCCCGGCUGCCAUCUUCUUGCUGCUGCUGCCUCCGCCACUAAUGCUCUUCUUCGCCUUGUCAUCUUCCACAUGCUCCUCGUUCCCAAAAGCACCCGCUCCCCAUUGAUCAGACCAACUCGGUGCCUUGUUGCUCCCCAUGAUUGAUUUCCCUCCUUUUACCUGCAGAAAAAUUUAAAAUCUUCACUGAUUCUAAUCACUAAUCAGUGCAUGUUCGGAAAUCUUUCUAGAAUUGAUUCUAAAGCCAAAAUCAAUUUUAGGGAGAAACUUAUGUGAGUCUCUCCUUAGUUCUUAGUGCCAGAAUUGAUUCAAAUCACUUAUCAAUGCAUGUUUGGAAAUUCAUCUAGCUUUUGAUUCUAAAGUCAAAAUCAAUUAUGGGGAGAAGGCGAGAAGCUAAGUAUCUUCUAAAUGCCAGAAUUGAUUCUAAUCAUGUAUCAAUGCAUGUUUGGAAAUCGUUCUAGAAUUGAUUCUAAAGUCAUAAUAAAUUACAUGAAGAAGCUAAGUAGCUUCUUUAUGUCAGAAUUGAUGCUAAUCACUUAUACAUGCAUGUUUGGAAAUCCCUCUAGAAUUGAUUCUACUGCCAAAAACAAUUCUAGGGUGAAACUUAUCUUAGUAGCUUAUUGAUGUCACAAAGAAAACAGAAGCUAAUACAAACAUCCUAAACAUGCUAUCAAAGCAAAUUAACAAACAAAACAACAACAAAACAUAAAGAGACAAAAAGGUAGGCGGAAACAUUCACAAAAUCGCAUCUAAUCCAAGUCGCACAAGGUCAAUAAUGCCAAACACACAUGUUUGGUUUCAAUUGACACAGUUAAUUAAUCAAUGUGACAAUCCAAAGCAAGAAAAAUAACAUUUGGGAUUUUUGAAUUAACAAGAUUUGGGUACACACCCACCCACAAGAUCUCUAGAUGAAUCCAAAGCAAAGUUUGAAGAGUUUAUUGAAAAAAAUCAAAACUUUUUGCUCAAUAGAUAAGAAUCAGAAAGACCCAGUUGUUAAAUGGAGUAAAUUGCACAUAAUUGUUGAAAAAAUAGGGCAAAAUUUCAUUUUUAUGUAUCUAUACAAAGACAGAGUGAGAUCGUAUAAAAGGGCAAGGAAGGUUCAGAUUGCUUGCAUGUUUGCUCGUACCUUGUUGUUGGUUGAUGAGGAUUGAGGAAGAAGAAGAUGGAGAUUUGAUUUGAGUUUGAGGGAGAGAAGGCAACAACGGGUUGAAACUCCAAC